UACGUAGGGUGCGAGCGUUGUCCGGAAUUAUUGGGCGUAAAGAGCUUGUAGGCGGUUUGUCGCGUCUGCUGUGAAAAUCCGGGGCUCAACCCCGGACUUGCAGUGGGUACGGGCAGACUAGAGUGUGGUAGGGGGAGACUGGAAUUCCUGGUGUAGCGGUGGAAUGCGCAGAUAUCAGGAGGAACACCGAUGGCGAAGGCAGGUCUCUGGGCCAUUACUGACACUGAGAAGCGAAAGCAUGGGGAGCGAACAGG
RNAcentral lists this ribosomal RNA (254 nucleotides) under uncultured bacterium. Its description in RNAcentral is "partial 16S ribosomal RNA". It matches the Rfam family "Bacterial small subunit ribosomal RNA", at positions 524 to 776 of the family's 1533-position model. The record is from RNAcentral.